This 543-nucleotide long non-coding RNA is filed under the name Danio rerio (zebrafish). RNAcentral describes it as "lncRNA (ENSDARG00000117306.1)". Lineage: Eukaryota; Metazoa; Chordata; Actinopteri; Cypriniformes; Danionidae. The record is from RNAcentral.
UUUCUAAUUUUAAUAUGUUUACAUAUUUCAGCAACGCAUGCAAGUACAAGCCCUUCCGAGUCUCAAACAGCAGAACCCACAACAGCCUUUGCCACAGCACACUCUCCAACAACUGAAACUCAAACAGUCACAAAACAUUCAAGUGAGUAACCAUUAUUAUCUUAGCACAGUGGCAAAAUAUGACACUAUAUGAUAAUGAUUUUGUGCAAAACGCUCAUUUUUUUCAUUUUUGUGGAGCUUAAAUUUAAGCUUCUAUUUUUAAACACCUCUAAAUAUUUCAGCACCACCUGCAAGUACAAGCCCUUCUACAACUCAAACAGCAGAGCCUACAAGUAAGUAAUAAACAUGUACAGCUGUCUGAAUCCUGUUGUGUUUAUAUUUUAUUUGAUAAAUUGUUUCUAAUACACUACAUUUAAAUGUUCAGCACCUCCUGUCAGUACAAGUUCUUCUACAACUGAGUCUCAAACAGCAGAACUCACAAGUAAGUCAUGUAUAUGUACUAAACAAUUUCAUGCUUAGAUUUCACAUAUAUCUAAAUCUUAU